GGCCGGUUAGCUCAGUUGGUUAAGCACGGUGCUGAUAACACCAAGGUCACGGGUUCGAUUCCCGUUCGGUCC
RNAcentral lists this transfer RNA (72 nucleotides) under Apaloderma vittatum (bar-tailed trogon). It matches the Rfam family "tRNA". From Rfam's summary of the family: Transfer RNA (tRNA) molecules are approximately 80 nucleotides in length. Their secondary structure includes four short double-helical elements and three loops (D, anti-codon, and T loops). Lineage: Eukaryota; Metazoa; Chordata; Aves; Trogoniformes; Trogonidae. The record is from Rfam by way of RNAcentral.